RNAcentral lists this transfer RNA (70 nucleotides) under Camelus bactrianus (Bactrian camel). It matches the Rfam family "tRNA". From Rfam's summary of the family: Transfer RNA (tRNA) molecules are approximately 80 nucleotides in length. Their secondary structure includes four short double-helical elements and three loops (D, anti-codon, and T loops). RNAcentral also lists the same sequence under 2 other names. Lineage: Eukaryota; Metazoa; Chordata; Mammalia; Artiodactyla; Camelidae. The record is from Rfam by way of RNAcentral.
GAGGUUAUAGCUCAAUGGUAGAGCGUGUGCUUAGCAAGCACAAGGUGCUGGGUUCAAUCCCAGUACCUCU